RNAcentral lists this long non-coding RNA (425 nucleotides) under Ficedula albicollis (Collared flycatcher). RNAcentral's name for it is "lncRNA (ENSFALG00000026608.1)". Lineage: Eukaryota; Metazoa; Chordata; Aves; Passeriformes; Muscicapidae. The record is from RNAcentral.
GUAAGACCUGGAGCCACCCAGCUUAGUUGUUCUAACUCCUCAUUUGCCAACAUCAUCAGGGCUCUGCUAAUCUGUAUAUGCAUUAAGUUACAUGCCCCACACCGGGUGAAUAAUUUCUGUUUUCACAGGACUCACCAUUAACAGGGAGAGAAAUUAUAACCUGUGUUCAGCAAGCUUGCUGCCUGGCAAUCUUCCUCCCUUUCAUUUGCAGAGUGGCACACUAAAAGCUGGCAAGGCAGACUUUAUGCAAAGCCCUUCUGCAAUAAAGGGACAGUAAAAGACAGUGCCUGCCCUUCAGAGUCUCAACACUGAAGACUGGUAUGUGCAUGAACACGGCAACAAGAUCAAAGUGAUGUGCAAACAUUCCGCCUUUCACGCUCUAGGUAUUACUGAAUUGGUGCUAUGGGACCAACCAGGAGCCUCAG